AGUAGACACCCUGAUGUGCGUAUCUGUGCUUCACUGCUGUCAGCAAUCAGCUCAGUGUUUAGCUUGAGCUGAUUAAAACAAACAGUAUAGAUUUAAUAUUCAAAGACUUCCUAACCUUCUUGAUGAUUGUGGCUAGUAGCUAACUACCCAACAUUGGAAGACGGCUAUCAACCUGAAUUUAGAGACAUGGUGGGGUCGACUAUGAAAAGUAGCCCGAAUGGAGAAACUGACAAAACAACUUGGAGCACUGCAGAAUAUAAAAGGCAAGGAGGACUUUGGAACAGUUUGGCAUACGUUUAUUCAACAUGCUAGAAAAGAGAGGGUUGCUGUAUUGCCACUUGUCACCAUCAACAAAUGGUUCAUGUUGGAAUAACCUGUUAGGAAGACAUGCAAGAUACCCUUGAUCUGAACAGAGAUCAAAAUUAAUGGCUGAAGUAUUUACAAACUUACCUGUUACUUAGCUAACUGGGGGAAAAAUAACAUUAUUGGAUUGUCUGGAGGGAGGGGGUUUCCUGUUAGAUGUAUUUUUGAAAAUGCAAAAUUAAGUAUUUAAUUUUUAAAAAUGCAGUCUGCUGGUUCAUAUUUGUCACAAGGAUGUAUUGUGCAAAUGUAGCAAUUAAUAUGUUCUUUGAGUAUAUUUCCUGCAUAUAUUUUUAUCUUUCUGUAUAUUCCCUAAGAUACUUAGUUGGAAAGCUUAAAGCGUGUUAUAAGGUCCCAACUCUCUGAUGUUACAUUCAUUUUGAAAACCAACUUCAUACAAUAUAGUAGCUUUCAUGCAA
Podarcis raffonei (Aeolian wall lizard) is the source of this 779-nucleotide long non-coding RNA. RefSeq lists it as uncharacterized. The record is from RefSeq and is a predicted model, not a curated record. The transcript is spliced from 2 exons. NCBI's taxonomy places the organism in Eukaryota, Metazoa, Chordata, Lepidosauria, Squamata, Lacertidae.